GACGAACGCUGGCGGCGUGCCUAAUACAUGCAAGUCGAGCGAAGUUUUUCUGGUGCUUGCACCGGAAAAACUUAGCGGCGAACGGGUGAGUAACACGUAAAGAACCUGCCUCAUAGACUGGGACAACUAUUGGAAACGAUAGCUAAUACCGGAUAAUAGCAUUAACUGCAUGGUUGAUGUUUAAAAGUUGGUUUUGCUAACACUAUGAGAUGGCUUUGCGGUGCAUUAGCUAGUUGGUGGGGUAAAGGCCUACCAAGGCGACGAUGCAUAGCCGACCUGAGAGGGUGAUCGGCCACACUGGGACUGAGACACGGCCCAGACUCCUACGGGAGGCAGCAGUAGGGAAUCUUCCGCAAUGGGCGAAAGCCUGACGGAGCAACGCCGCGUGGGUGAAGAAGGAUUUCGGUUCGUAAAGCUCUGUUGUUAGGGAAGAAUGAUUGUGUAGUAACUAUACACAGUAGAGACGGUACCUAACCAGAAAGCCACGGCUAACUACGUG
RNAcentral lists this ribosomal RNA (499 nucleotides) under uncultured bacterium. RNAcentral's name for it is "partial 16S ribosomal RNA". It matches the Rfam family "Bacterial small subunit ribosomal RNA", at positions 28 to 507 of the family's 1533-position model. The record is from RNAcentral.